This 253-nucleotide ribosomal RNA is filed under the name uncultured bacterium. Its description in RNAcentral is "partial 16S ribosomal RNA". It matches the Rfam family "Bacterial small subunit ribosomal RNA", at positions 524 to 776 of the family's 1533-position model. The record is from RNAcentral.
UACGGGGGGGGCAAGCGUUGUUCGGAAUUACUGGGCGUAAAGGGCUCGUAGGCGGCCAACUAAGUCCGACGUGAAAUCCCAAGGCUUAACCUUGGAACUGCGUCGGAUACUGGAUGGCUUGAAUUCGGGAGAGGGAUGCAGAAUUCCAGGUGUAGCGGUGAAAUGCGUAGAUAUCGGGAGGAACACCGGUGGCGAAGGCGGCGACCUGGGUCGAGACUGACGCUGAGGCGCGAAAGCGUGGGGAGCAAACAGG